GUCCAGGGCCGCAUCACCCUGAACUCGCCUGAUCUUGUCUGAUCUCAGAAGCUAAGCAGGAUUGGGCCUGGUUAGCACUUGGGUGGGAGGCCACCUGGGAAUACUGGGUGCUGUAGGUU
Molecule: non-coding RNA, 119 nt
Organism: Myotis brandtii (Brandt's bat)
Lineage: Eukaryota; Metazoa; Chordata; Mammalia; Chiroptera; Vespertilionidae
Source: Rfam